GGGUUAGGCAUAUCAUAAUGAUGCGAUUGAGUGAUAUGUCUAUGUCGUGUAAAACAUGGAGGGGCAAUAUGACCAAUGCGUCUACAAUAAUGACAAGUCACGUUGGGGUAAUGCAUCCUUCUAGGUUCAUAGUAACUUGAUGGACGAAAAUGAGUUACUCUAUUUUCAUUCUGACUAUUGCGCAUUUCAUGAGAACCAUUUCUC
RNAcentral lists this long non-coding RNA (204 nucleotides) under Nicotiana benthamiana. Its description in RNAcentral is "long non-coding RNA (NBEN_LNC000142)". The record is from RNAcentral. Lineage: Eukaryota; Viridiplantae; Streptophyta; Magnoliopsida; Solanales; Solanaceae.